GACGAACGCUGGCGGCGUGCUUAACACAUGCAAGUCGAACGGAAAGGCCCUGCUUUUGUGGGGUGCUCGAGUGGCGAACGGGUGAGUAACACGUGAGUAACCUGCCCUUGACUUUGGGAUAACUUCAGGAAACUGGGGCUAAUACCGGAUAGGAGCUCCUGCUGCAUGGUGGGGGUUGGAAAGCUUCGGCGGUUGGGGAUGGACUCGCGGCUUAUCAGCUUGUUGGUGGGGUAGUGGCUUACCAAGGCUUUGACGGGUAGCCGGCCUGAGAGGGUGACCGGCCACAUUGGGACUGAGAUACGGCCCAGACUCCUACGGGAGGCAGCAGUGGGGAAUAUUGCACAAUGGGCGGAAGCCUGAUGCAGCAACGCCGCGUGCGGGAUGACGGCCUUCGGGUUGCAAACCGCUUUCGCCUGUGACGAAGCGUGAGUGACGGUAAUGGGUAAAGAAGCACCGGCUAACUACGUG
This 468-nucleotide ribosomal RNA is filed under the name uncultured bacterium. RNAcentral's name for it is "partial 16S ribosomal RNA". It matches the Rfam family "Bacterial small subunit ribosomal RNA", at positions 28 to 507 of the family's 1533-position model. The record is from RNAcentral.